Molecule: ribosomal RNA, 950 nt
Filed under: uncultured Citrobacter sp.
Lineage: Bacteria; Pseudomonadati; Pseudomonadota; Gammaproteobacteria; Enterobacterales; Enterobacteriaceae
Description: bacterial SSU rRNA
Rfam family: Bacterial small subunit ribosomal RNA
Source: RNAcentral
AUUGAACGCUGGCGGCAGGCCUAACACAUGCAAGUCGAACGGUAGCACAGAGGAGCUUGCUCCUUGGGUGACGAGUGGCGGACGGGUGAGUAAUGUCUGGGAAACUGCCCGAUGGAGGGGGAUAACUACUGGAAACGGUAGCUAAUACCGCAUAAUGUCGCAAGACCAAAGAGGGGGACCUUCGGGCCUCUUGCCAUCGGAUGUGCCCAGAUGGGAUUAGCUAGUAGGUGGGGUAACGGCUCACCUAGGCGACGAUCCCUAGCUGGUCUGAGAGGAUGACCAGCCACACUGGAACUGAGACACGGUCCAGACUCCUACGGGAGGCAGCGGUGGGGAAUAUUGCACAAUGGGCGCAAGCCUGAUGCAGCCAUGCCGCGUGUAUGAAGAAGGCCUUCGGGUUGUAAAGUACUUUCAGCGAGGAGGAAGGUGUUGUGGUUAAUAACCGCAGCAAUUGACGUUACUCGCAGAAGAAGCACCGGCUAACUCCGUGCCAGCAGCCGCGGUAAUACGGAGGGUGCAAGCGUUAAUCGGAAUUACUGGGCGUAAAGCGCACGCAGGCGGUCUGUCAAGUCGGAUGUGAAAUCCCCGGGCUCAACCUGGGAACUGCAUCCGAAACUGGCAGGCUAGAGUCUUGUAGAGGGGGGUAGAAUUCCAGGUGUAGCGGUGAAAUGCGUAGAGAUCUGGAGGAAUACCGGUGGCGAAGGCGGCCCCCUGGACAAAGACUGACGCUCAGUGCGAAAGCGUGGGGAGCAAACAGGAUUAGAUACCCUGUAGUCCACGCUGUAAACGAUGUCGACUUGGAGGUUGUUCCCUUGAGGAGUGGCUUCCGGAGCUAACGCGUUAAGUCGACCGCCUGGGGAGUACGGCCGCAAGGUUAAAACUCAAUGAAUUGACGGGGCCCGCACAAGCGGUGGAGCAUGUGGUUUAAUUCGAUGCAACGCGAAGACCUU